RNAcentral lists this long non-coding RNA (2353 nucleotides) under Capra hircus (goat). RNAcentral's name for it is "lncRNA (ENSCHIG00010009899.1)". Lineage: Eukaryota; Metazoa; Chordata; Mammalia; Artiodactyla; Bovidae. The record is from RNAcentral.
AAUUGGCACAUUUUUCUGUCUUGAAAGCAGCACUUUCAGAUAAGAAUUAAUGUAAAUUCUACUUUUGUAAAUUGCAACUUUAAAUUUCUCUGACUCAAAUUNNNNNNNNNNNNNNNNNNNNNNNNNNNNNNNNNNNNNNNNNNNNNNNNNNNNNNNNNNNNNNNNNNNNNNNNNNNNNNNNNNNNNNNNNNNNNNNNNNNUUUUGUAAAUUGCAACUUUAAAUUUCUCUGACUCAAAUUUGCAGCUUUGUAUAUGAGAAGAGGUUUUGGUAAGAGUUGAACAUUUUUAAACUGAAACUUUAAAGCAUCACCAACAGAUUGUGGAUUAGUUCACAUGCACAAACAAAACACACACACCUACAAUUAGCUCAAUUAGGAUACAUACACAAAUAUUUAGCUAAAUUAGAAACCACAGUUUUCAAUUUUAUAUAAUUACUAAUUAUUAAUGAGCAAAAUUCAUUUUCCUUUUAGAAUUUAAAAUACUCUUUAUGCCCCUGAUAUAUGUUGCAGAAAUUAUUAAUUGUGUCUCAUGUUAUUAGACUCAACAUUUUGGGCAAACUUAAAAUCCUUUUGACUCACAUAUACAUUAGCAGUUAUUAGUUGACUUUUACUAAUAGAUACACCUUUAUGAUGGUGUUUUUGUAGAGACAUAAGUAGUCAAAUAGUGGCAUUUCUUGCAGUUUUGUACAGUAUUUCAGUAUAGUGCAUAAAUAGGUAUGUUCAUAAAAUCAAUAAAAGGAGUUAUGGAAACAAGCAAAAUCACAGCAAAAACUGCUAUUCCUUUGCCUCAUUUAUAAUUUUAUUUUAUUCAUUUUUUUUUGUUUCAGUGUGAUUCUGUUAUGUGCUUUGCAUGAUUGUAUUAAUACCAAGGUCACAAAUGCAUCUUAUUAACAGAAUUUGCCAUGAAGACAGCCUUGACAUUAAAAAUUCGCCCUCACAAAAGACUUCAGUUCUCUGUAUACACAAUGUCUUCAAUACAUGUUAACAGACUACCUGACUGAAAGAGUCUCUAAAAAGAAAAGCUAGCAUUUGACUUCAGCCAGAUUUUACUUGAAAGCUCAGAGGGGAAUGGCUUCAUCUUGACGAUGUGGCAACAGCAUUCAAUCUGCCAUCAUUGUCUGUGAUAGUUGUGCCUUCUUUUAUUCAACUGAAUAAUAGGACAGAAUCACAGAAAACAUCUUAAGAUUGCAUACAUCAAAAUGUAGCUGUGGCCAUCACAUUCAUAUUUGCUAUUAAAAAUUAUUUGUAAUUAACUACUCAUGGGAAAACUGAAAAUAUCUUUAUAAGCAUUGUGCCUGUUUCUGAAAUAAGAAAGUGUUAAAAAAAAUCCAGUGCCUGAGUAGGAUGAUAACUCAAAGCAGUCAAAUGUAAUGGAUUUAUUUUGAUUUUAGUUUUGAAGGAACUAGAAUUACUGAAGAUUAUUUUAGAAGAAAAUAUACAGGAACAUGAAAGGUAUUUACCUUCUAUGAGCUGUGCUUAUAAGACAUUAAAGGUGUCUACAUAAAAUAUAUAAACCAUUAUGUAAUCAGAUUUCAGUUGUAGAAAAUAGCCCACUAUACCCAUUUUAAGCAGGUGAUAAUUUAUUAUAGAGUUUUAGAAAGAUGCUACAGAUUUGUUCAGAAGGUUAAUAAAAUAGAAUAUGAGAUAAACUUACAGGAAAUUUUUCAAUAUCUUCACUCUAGCAUGAGGCCAGCUAAGCUGCUGUCUCUUCUAUGAUUAAGAAAUGACUGGUCUAACAUGUGAAACACCACAACCACAUCAAGAAUAUCUCAGUCAGGAAGCUAAUAUGAUGUUCUUUGGUCCAGAACCACAUUGUGCCACAUACAGUGUUUAAUGGAAAAUUGAUGUCGUGUCCUGCUUCCUUUUUAAUAUCUAUAAGAUUAGUGACUGGGACGUUUGCUAACAUUGCCACAGUAAAAUCACCUGCCAUUAGCACUCUGCUUGCUAGCAGAAACAGCUGAAACAACAGAAACACAUUCUUCAGACUGCAUCAGUCUUCCAAAUCUCACAGAAUUGCAUCUGAUUUGUCAAACUUAAAUCAACCAGAACUUGAGUUAUAUAAUGUUUAUCUUUCAAACUUGAAAAUAUAGUAAGUCUUUUUCUGUCAGGUUACCCAUUUGACUAUUCAAAUUCCAAAAGUAUUCUUCUUUCCAUAUUUAACUCUACCACACACAAAAAAAGAAAAAGAAACCAUACAAUAGAAAUAACAAGCUAACAUCAAACAAGGGAUUUACCUAGUGUUCAGAGGUAAAGAAUCUGCCUGCCAAGCAGGAGACACAGGUUCAGUCCCUGGGUUGGGAAGGUUCCCCAAAGAAGGAAAUGGCAACCCAUUCUAGUAUUCUUGCCGGGGGAAU